RNAcentral lists this ribosomal RNA (427 nucleotides) under uncultured bacterium. Its description in RNAcentral is "partial 16S ribosomal RNA". It matches the Rfam family "Bacterial small subunit ribosomal RNA", at positions 355 to 774 of the family's 1533-position model. The record is from RNAcentral.
UGGGGAAUAUUGGACAAUGGGCGAAAGCCUGAUCCAGCCAUGCCGCAUGUGUGAAGAAGGUCUUCGGAUUGUAAAGCACUUUAAGUUGGGAGGAAGGGCAUUAACCUAAUACGUUAGUGUUUUGACGUUACCGACAGAAUAAGCACCGGCUAACUCUGUGCCAGCAGCCGCGGUAAUACAGAGGGUGCAAGCGUUAAUCGGAAUUACUGGGCGUAAAGCGCGCGUAGGUGGUUUGUUAAGUUGGAUGUGAAAGCCCCGGGCUCAACCUGGGAACUGUAUCCAAAACUGGCAAGCUAGAGUACGGUAGAGGGUGGUGGAAUUUCCUGUGUAGCGGUGAAAUGCGUAGAUAUAGGAAGGAACACCAGUGGCGAAGGCGACCACCUGGACUGAUACUGACACUGAGGUGCGAAAGCGUGGGGAGCAAACA